CCACCAUAAUGCUGCUUAAGAAGAGCAAUUCGAUUCUUCCUCAAGCUCUCCUCACCAAUUCAUCAUUUCCUCUCCUUAAACACUGAGUGGUCUUUGGCCGAGAAAAAGAUAUCCAGCUGCACCGUAGCUGAACUGACUUAGAAGCAAAACCCAGUGCUCCUGGAGAGGCCUUGGAAAAAACGUUUCCUCAGCCAGAGCUGCAGCAUGGGCCGAUGCAGACAUGCAGCGCGGUGUGUGGCACAAGGUCAUUUUCUGAAACACCAGGGGUCCCCGAGUGAGGAGGAGAAGAGCUGUAUAAGUCAUCUUCCCCCAAGUCCAAACUCCAGCACCAAGAUGCUCUGCCAUCAAAGAAGCCUGUAGCCUCCCAGGGACAGCAACUGCCUGGAGACCCACAGAGAGACCUGUCAUCCAGAGGAAGGGACAGGAGAGGGUCGAAUUGCUUCUUACAGAACUGCAGGUAAACACCGAGUCUCUGCAGGUUCCUCUCCUGGAAACAGGACCCCUGUGCACGCCACAUCUGCCUGUCAGACUUGCAGCCUCUACACAUCCUCUGUGGAGGCUUCUGCCCGGAGUCCCAGCACUAGGCAGACGGAGGGAAGAGGACCCCAAGAGUCGGAAGACCAGUGUGGACAACGUUGUCAGACCACCCCCA
Long non-coding RNA from Onychomys torridus (southern grasshopper mouse), 652 nucleotides. RefSeq lists it as uncharacterized. The record is from RefSeq and is a predicted model, not a curated record. Lineage: Eukaryota; Metazoa; Chordata; Mammalia; Rodentia; Cricetidae. The transcript has 3 exons.